UGAGGAAUAUUGGUCAAUGGACGAGAGUCUGAACCAGCCAAGUAGCGUGAAGGAUGACUGCCCUAUGGGUUGUAAACUUCUUUUAUAAGGGAAUAAAGUGAGGGACGUGUCCCUUUUUGUAUGUACCUUAUGAAUAAGGAUCGGCUAACUCCGUGCCAGCAGCCGCGGUAAUACGGAGGAUCCAAGCGUUAUCCGGAUUUAUUGGGUUUAAAGGGAGCGUAGGUUGACAUAUAAGUCAGCUGUGAAAGUUUACGGCUCAACCGUGAAAUUGCAGUUGAUACUGUAUGUCUUGAGUGUACAAGAGGUGGGCGGAAUUCGUGGUGUAGCGGUGAAAUGCUUAGAUAUUGCUCAGAACACCGAUUGCGAAGGCAGCUUACCAAGCUAUUAUUGACGCUGAGGCACGAAAGCGUGGGGAUCGAACAGG
RNAcentral lists this ribosomal RNA (424 nucleotides) under uncultured prokaryote. Its description in RNAcentral is "bacterial SSU rRNA". It matches the Rfam family "Bacterial small subunit ribosomal RNA", at positions 355 to 776 of the family's 1533-position model. The record is from RNAcentral.